RNAcentral lists this ribosomal RNA (253 nucleotides) under uncultured bacterium. Its description in RNAcentral is "partial 16S ribosomal RNA". It matches the Rfam family "Bacterial small subunit ribosomal RNA", at positions 524 to 776 of the family's 1533-position model. The record is from RNAcentral.
GACGUAGGGCGCGAGCGUUGUCCGGAUUUAUUGGGCGUAAAGAGCUCGUAGGCGGCUUGUUGCGUCAGCUGUGAAAACCCGCAGCUCAACUGUGGGCUUGCAGCUGAUACGGGCAGGCUUGAGUUCGGUAGGGGAGACUGGAAUUCCUGGUGUAGCGGUGAAAUGCGCAGAUAUCAGGAGGAACACCGGUGGCGAAGGCGGGACUCUGGGCCGAUACUGACGCUGAGGAGCGAAAGCGUGGGGAGCGAACAGG